GCAGUAGCCGCGGUAAUACGAAGGGGGCUAGCGUUGCUCGGAAUCACUGGGCGUAAAGGGUGCGUAGGCGGGUCUUUAAGUCAGAGGUGAAAGCCUGGAGCUCAACUCCAGAACUGCCUUUGAUACUGGAGAUCUCGAGUUCGGGAGAGGUGAGUGGAACUGCGAGUGUAGAGGUGAAAUUCGUAGAUAUUCGCAAGAACACCAGUGGCGAAGGCGGCUCACUGGCCCGAUACUGACGCUGAGGCACGAAAGCGUGGGGAGCAAACAGGAUUAGAUACCCGUGUAGUCCCUGUCUCUUAUAC
RNAcentral lists this ribosomal RNA (302 nucleotides) under uncultured bacterium. Its description in RNAcentral is "partial 16S ribosomal RNA". It matches the Rfam family "Bacterial small subunit ribosomal RNA", at positions 508 to 807 of the family's 1533-position model. The record is from RNAcentral.